Molecule: ribosomal RNA, 264 nt
Filed under: uncultured bacterium
Lineage: Bacteria
Description: partial 16S ribosomal RNA
Rfam family: Bacterial small subunit ribosomal RNA
Source: RNAcentral
CCGGCGACCGGCGCACGGGUGAGUAACACGUAUGCAACCUGCCCGUCUCAGGGGGAUAAUCGCCGGAAACGGCGUCUAAUACCCCGUAUGAAGCUGGACGGCAUCGUCUGGUUUUGAAAGAAUAUCGGAGACGGAUGGGCAUGCGGCGCAUUAGCUAGUUGGCGGGGUAACGGCCCACCAAGGCGACGAUGCGUAGGGGUUCUGAGAGGAAGGUCCCCCACACUGGUACUGAGACACGGACCAGACUCCUACGGGAGGCAGCAG